AACGAACGCUGGCGGCGCGCCUAAUACAUGCAAGUCGAGCGAGAAGACGUAGCAAUACGUUUGUAAAGCGGCGAACGGGUGAGGAAUACAUGGGUAACCUACCCUCGAGUGGGGAAUAACUAGCCGAAGGUUAGCUAAUACCGCGUACGCUCCUUGGACUUCGGUUCAGGGAGGAAAGCGAUACCGUGGGUAUCGCGCUCUUGGAUGGGCUCAUGUCCUAUCAGCUUGUUGGUGAGGUAACGGCUCACCAAGGCUUCGACGGGUAGCUGGUCUGAGAGGACGAUCAGCCACACUGGCACUGCGACACGGGCCAGACUCCUACGGGAGGCAGCAGUAAGGAAUAUUGCGCAAUGGGCGAAAGCCUGACGCAGCGACGCCGCGUGGGGGAUGAAGGUCUUCGGAUUGUAAACCCCUUUCGGGAGGGAAGAUGGAACGAGCAAUCGUUCGGACGGUACCUCCAGAAG
Molecule: ribosomal RNA, 464 nt
Filed under: uncultured bacterium
Lineage: Bacteria
Description: bacterial SSU rRNA
Rfam family: Bacterial small subunit ribosomal RNA
Source: RNAcentral